GGCGCAAUAGCAAUAGGCUAGCGCGUCUGACUGUUAAUCAGGAGGUUGGAAGUUCGAGCCUUCC
Molecule: transfer RNA, 64 nt
Filed under: Aspergillus cristatus
Lineage: Eukaryota; Fungi; Ascomycota; Eurotiomycetes; Eurotiales; Aspergillaceae
Rfam family: tRNA
About the family: Transfer RNA (tRNA) molecules are approximately 80 nucleotides in length. Their secondary structure includes four short double-helical elements and three loops (D, anti-codon, and T loops).
Source: Rfam by way of RNAcentral